GAACCUGCCUCAUACUCGGGAAUAGCCUUGCGAAAGUAAGAUUAAUGCCCGGUGUUUUCAGAGUCCCGCAUGAGGCUUUGAACAAAGAUUUAUCGGUAUGAGAUGGCGAUGCGUCCCAUUAGCUUGUUGGCGGGGUAACGGCCCACCAAGGCAUCGAUGGGUAGGGGUUCUGAGAGGAAGGUCCCCCACAUUGGAACUGAGACACGGUCCAAACUCCUACGGGAGGCAGCAGUGAGGAAUAUUGGUCAAUGGGCGGAAACCUGAACCAGCCAAGUAGCGUGCAGGAAGACGGCCCUCCGGGUUGUAAACUGCUUUUAGUUGGGAAUAAAACGGGGCUCGUGAGCCCCCUUGCAUGUACCAUCAGAAAAAGGACCGGCUAAUUCCGUGCCAGCAGCCGCGGUAAUACGGAAGGUCCGGGCGUUAUCCGGAUUUAUUGGGUUUAAAGGGAGCGCAGGCGGACCUUUAAGUCAGCUGUGAAAUACGGCGGCUCAACCGUCGAACUGCAGUUGAUACUGGAGGUCUUGAGUGCACACAGGGAUGCUGGAAUUCAUGGUGUAGCGGUGAAAUGCUCAGAUAUCAUGAAGAACUCCGAUCGCGAAGGCAGGCAUCCGGGGUGCAACUGACGCUGAGGCUCGAAAGUGCGGGUAUCAAACAGGAUUAGAUACCCUGGUAGUCCGCACAGUAAACGAUGAAUACUCGCGGUUUGCGAUACAAUGUAAGCCGCCAAGCGAAAGCGUUAAGUAUUCCACCUGGGGAGUACGCCGGCAACGGUGAAA
RNAcentral lists this ribosomal RNA (776 nucleotides) under uncultured bacterium. RNAcentral describes it as "bacterial SSU rRNA". It matches the Rfam family "Bacterial small subunit ribosomal RNA", at positions 122 to 899 of the family's 1533-position model. The record is from RNAcentral.